GUAGGUGGCAAGCGUUGUCCGGAAUUAUUGGGCGUAAAGCGCGCGCAGGCGGUCCUUUAAGUCUGAUGUGAAAGCCCACGGCUCAACCGUGGAGGGUCAUUGGAAACUGGGGGACUUGAGUACAGAAGAGGAAAGCGGAAUUCCAAGUGUAGCGGUGAAAUGCGUAGAGAUUUGGAGGAACACCAGUGGCGAAGGCGGCUUUCUGGUCUGUAACUGACGCUGAGGCGCGAAAGCGUGGGGAGCAAACAGGGAUUCGAUACCCUGGUAGUCCACGCCGUAAACGAUGAGUGCUAAGUGUUAGGGGGUUUCCCGCCCCUUAGUGCUGCAGCUAACGCAUUAAGCACUCCGCCUGGGGAGUACGGCCGCAAGGCUG
RNAcentral lists this ribosomal RNA (373 nucleotides) under uncultured organism. Its description in RNAcentral is "partial 16S ribosomal RNA". It matches the Rfam family "Bacterial small subunit ribosomal RNA", at positions 527 to 896 of the family's 1533-position model. The record is from RNAcentral.